UCCCAGUUAACCUGGGCAGUCUCACUAGAGUCCCCACCUUUACGUGCUGGUAACUAAUGACAAGGGUUGCGCUCGUUGCGGGACUUAACCCAACACCUCACGGCACGAGCUGACGACAGCCAUGCAGCACCUGUGAUUUUGUCCUUGCGGAAAAUCUAAUUUCUUAGACGAUCAAAAACAUGUCAAGUCUGGGUAAGGUUCUUCGCGUUGCAUCGAAUUAAACCACAUGCUCCACUGCUUGUGCGGGCCCCCGUCAAUUCUUUUAAGUUUCACUCUUGCGAGCGUACUCCUCAGGCGGUGUACUUAACGCGUUAGCUUCGACACAGACAGGGUUGAGCCCAUCUACAUCAAGUACACAUCGUUUACGGCAAGGACUAC
RNAcentral lists this unclassified non-coding RNA (378 nucleotides) under uncultured Chlamydiales bacterium. RNAcentral's name for it is "contains 16S-23S intergenic spacer region". The record is from RNAcentral. Lineage: Bacteria; Pseudomonadati; Chlamydiota; Chlamydiia; Chlamydiales.